Molecule: ribosomal RNA, 253 nt
Filed under: uncultured bacterium
Lineage: Bacteria
Description: partial 16S ribosomal RNA
Rfam family: Bacterial small subunit ribosomal RNA
Source: RNAcentral
UACGGAGGGUGCAAGCGUUAUCCGGAUUCACUGGGUUUAAAGGGAGCGCAGGCGGAUUUGUAAGUCAGACGUGAAAUCCCUCAGCUUAACUGGGGAACUGCGUCUGAUACUGGUGGGCUUGAGUGCAGGAGAGGAACGCGGAAUUCCAGGUGUAGCGGUGAAAUGCGUAGAUAUCUGGAGGAACACCGGUGGCGAAGGCGGCGUUCUGGACUGCAACUGACACUGAGGAACGAAAGCCAGGGGAGCAAACGGG